Molecule: non-coding RNA, 387 nt
Organism: Paramuricea clavata
Lineage: Eukaryota; Metazoa; Cnidaria; Anthozoa; Malacalcyonacea; Plexauridae
Source: the annotation of a GenBank genome assembly
AUGCAUGCAAGCAAGCAAAUAUUGAAACAAAUAUUUAGAUAAGCACUUCGCUAAUUCUGCCGAGGUUUUUAUUCCGGUUUAUUUUUCUCUUUGAUGUAUAUUCAUCAAAUACCUUGAAACUUGAAAAUAAAAAUUUCCUUUGAUUUGACCAUGGGAUCGGCCAAUUCAUCUAUAUAGCGUAUCUGUUGGUGCUAAGCCUAUAAUUAGUACAAUUACAUAGGUGAUUUUUGAAAAUUCUCUACACUGAUUGGUUGCCGUUGAGGUGAUUAUAACGCGAUAAUCAGCUAAGCGAUUUUCGAAAUGGCGGCCGAAGCAGUUUUGUCAAUUAAAUGACGAAGAAAUGUGUAUUUUUUAAUUUUUUCCAAAUAAUCACCUAUACGAAAUCAC